GCCCAACCAGUAUCGUGGAUAUGACCAUCGGCUUGUAACCGAGUGAAUUCGGGUUCGAAUCCCGAAUAAGGCA
This 73-nucleotide transfer RNA is filed under the name Trichonephila clavata. RNAcentral describes it as "tRNA-Thr". The record is from RNAcentral. Lineage: Eukaryota; Metazoa; Arthropoda; Arachnida; Araneae; Nephilidae.